AUAUUUGCAACUAGUUAUGGUGGUGAAUUUGUCAUCCGGCAAAUUUACUGAAAAGGGAAUCAGGUGAAAGUCCUGAACAGACCCGCUGCUGUAAUCUCUAUACAAGUCCCCGGACACUACUUAAUUCCACUGUUUACCAAAACAUGAAACGGGAAGGACGUCCGAAGGAUAGAGAAAAGUCAGAAGACCUGCCAUAUAAAUAGAAGUACA
RNAcentral lists this non-coding RNA (210 nucleotides) under Indolivaga macrotermitis. Lineage: Bacteria; Pseudomonadati; Bacteroidota; Bacteroidia; Bacteroidales; Dysgonomonadaceae. The record is from RNAcentral.